This is a long non-coding RNA of Oncorhynchus tshawytscha (Chinook salmon), 2008 nucleotides long. Lineage: Eukaryota; Metazoa; Chordata; Actinopteri; Salmoniformes; Salmonidae. The record is from Ensembl.
CGGUUAUCGAAUCCAUCAUUGCCCGCGGGCGGUGAAUGGAUAGGCUAUAGAUAUUCUACAUAUUCUUACCCUACGAGGACCGGAGCCUGCUGUUUUUCCUACCUGAUAAUUAAUUGCACACACCUGGUAGCCAGGUCUAAAUUAGUCCCUGAUUAGAAGGGAACAAUAAAAAAAUAUGCAUUGGAACUGGCGAGGUCCAGAGAUUAGUUUGAGGGUUCUAUAUUAUAUAAAGACGCUUGACAGUUGAGAUGGCAGCUAGUUUAAUAAAGCAGAUGCCUCCACUACUAGAUUAUGACCGGGCACCGGGGCACGGGUAUGACACACUUUGUCUGUUAUGGGGUUGAGGAGCAGCGAACCGUCUCUAAAAUGGUUUGUGAUGCACAUUUGCGCUGCCUGCCUGCUGGGAGUCGAGAGGGUGGACACUGUGUGUCUGGUCGAAGCUGUCUCUCUCAGUGCAUUGUGAGUUCAUUUAUAUGAUCCGAUCCACAUGACAGGCUGCAGUAUAUGCAAUAUCCAAAGCUAUGGCUAUGGAUUAUAUAUAUAUAUGAUCCAUAAUAUAUAUAUAUAUGGAUAAAAUAUAUGGAUUAUAUGUAAUGGAUGAAUGCUAUGCUAUGAGUCCCUGUGUUUAUGAGCUAUACUGUGCUCGUCUCUGUGCUCUCAAAAUAUAAUCAUAUCCCUAGGUCUAUUUAGCAAUAGCAAAAAACGGAAUGAUGAUUUAGUGACUGUGGUGCCAUGAGAGUGUAUGCCAGCCCGCAGAGACACAGCUGGGAGCUGUCCCUUCAGCACCACCCUGGACAUGACCCCUGGUGGAUUCAGCACUGCAACACCAUGGACAGCAACCUCUGACAAGGCCCCAGUACAGACUACCUGCUGUGCAAGAGCAUGGACAGCAACCCCUAUACAAGCCACAGCUGUGGCAGCAGACCCUAGCCCCUUCAGCACCAUGGAGAGCAGCUCUUAUACAAGCCACAGCUGUGGCAUCAGACCCCAGCCUCUUCAGCACCAUGGACGGCAGCCCUUGCUACAGCAGCCCCCACAGCUUGGUUCCAAAACAGGCUAUAUCAUAAAAAUGUAGGAAAACAAAAAUGUGCCUUUUAGUCUUCAUUUAAUUUUAGAUGUGUGGUUAAGGUUAGAGUUAGUUUUAAAAUCAGAUUUUAAGAAGAUAAAUUAAAGAAAUAGGUGGGGUUUGGACUUUGCCCAGAUAGUAACGAUCCUACAGCUGCAGCACCACGAUCAUCUACUUGCUUCAUACCAGCCACAGCUGCAGCACCACGGUCAUCUACCUGCUUCAUACCAGCCACAGCACCACGGCCAUCUACCUGCUUCAUACCAGCCACAGCUGCAGCACCACGGCCGUCUACCCGCUUCAUACCAGCCACAGCACCACGGCCAUCUACCUGCUUCAUACCAGCCACAGCUGCAGCACCAUGAUCAUCUAUCUACCUGCUUCAUACCAGCCACAGCUGCAGCAGUACCCAUUAGUACAUAUUCAGCACCACGGACAGAAUACACAUUUGCAGCAAUAUGCUCACAACCACAGCUGCAAAAAAAAAAUGUGUUUGGAACCAUUGAGAUCCUAUUAAAUUACUCCUAGUAUUCUAGUAGGUAAUACUAUGUCCAGAACCAUGCACAUCUCCCUAACAGGGAGAGGUAUAGGGACCACGGAGAGCUCCUUAUUAAGUGGAGGUACAGGGACCAUGGACAGCUCCCUAACAGGGGGAGGUAUAGACCCCAUGGACAGCUCCCUGACAGGAGGAGGUACAGGGACCAUGGACAGCUCCCUAACAGGGGGAGGUGCAGGGACCAUGGACAGCUCCCUGACAGGAGGAGGUACAGGGACCGUGGACAGCUCCCUAACAGGGGGAGGUACAGGUGCCAUGGACAGCUCCCUAACAGGAGGAGGUACAGGGACCAUAGACAGCUCCCUGACAUGAGGAGGUACAGGGACCAUAGACAGCUCCCUAACAGGGGGAGGUACAGGGACCAUGGACAGCUCCCUAACAGGAGG